RNAcentral lists this long non-coding RNA (315 nucleotides) under Zea mays. Its description in RNAcentral is "drought-responsive long non-coding RNA". Lineage: Eukaryota; Viridiplantae; Streptophyta; Magnoliopsida; Poales; Poaceae. The record is from RNAcentral.
AUGCUCCCUGCUCGGCCUCCCCGGCGUGCUGCUCCCUCGCCUUGGUAUCCCUGCGAGCUCCUUCUCCCUCGCCCGGUUUCCAGCUCAGGCCUCGCCGGAUGCCACCGUCGCUUUUCUGACCUCGCCUCGACACUCAAUCGCUGCAGCACGCCAUGCCAUGCUGCACUGUCAUCGUUCGCUAUCCUCAUCCUCGCCAAUUUUCCUCGUUGUUUCUCGGCUACAACCGUGUCAGCUCCUACGCGUCGUGCGCGUUUUGUGUUCGGGUCGAGCCCCAGGAUUUUGAGGAAAAGGAAGCUUCAGUACAUCGGCCGGUGA